GGGAAGGUGGCUCAGUGGUAGAGCACUUGCCUUGCAUGCCUGAGGUCCUGGGUUUGAUUCCUCGCCACUUCU
Molecule: non-coding RNA, 72 nt
Organism: Dipodomys ordii (Ord's kangaroo rat)
Lineage: Eukaryota; Metazoa; Chordata; Mammalia; Rodentia; Heteromyidae
Source: Rfam